CUGAGUGAACAGGGGAUUAUCAUGUCUGUCCAGCUGAGUGAACAAGGGAUUAUCAUGUCUAGUCCAGUCUGCAUAGAAGUACAGUGUUCUCCUCCAAGUCUGGAGAAAGGGUACAAGACCCUCUUCACGGAUGACUGCCUCCAGUUCCUGCAUGAUCUCAUCACUACAUUUGACCAGAGGGUGGAUCAGAUUCUGCAAAUGCGAGUAUUCCGAAAAGUUAAUCUAGACCUCACAGGGGUGCUGCCAAGCUUCUCUAAAGACCCUAGCAGUGUUAGAAGUGACACCACCUGGAGAGUUCUACCAGUCCCAGAAAGGCUGCAGAGAAGGCAUGUUGACAUUGGUGAUCUGGCUCCAUGUGACACUGAACGCUUGCUGAGAGCUCUAAAGUCACCAGCUCAAGGCAUCCAGGUAGACUUUGAUGACGGGAACUGUCCUACAUUCUACAACCAGAUAAAGGGCAUUCAUAAUGUGUACAAGGCUGUUCACAAUAUGUUUUCAGAUGUACCACCCAUAUCUCAAGCCCCAGUGUUGAUGCUUCGUCCUCGGGCCUGGAAUAUGAUAGAGAGCAACAUGAUGGUGGAGGGGAAGCAGGCUCCAGGCCCACUCUUCGAUUUUGGACUGCUCAUGUUUCAUUGUGGGAAAACGCUGUUGGACAACAAGAGUGGCCCUUUUUUCUACUUGUCAAAAGUGGAGAGCUACAUGGAAGCCAGAUUAUGGAAUGAUAUAUUUACAUGGGCUGAACAGAAGCUGGUGAUUCCUUUGGGUAGCAUCAAAGCCACAGUCCUGAUUGAAAACAUCUUGGCUUCAUUUGAAAUGGAGGAAAUCCUCUAUGAGCUCCGGGAUCACUCAGCAGGUCUCAACUGUGGAAUCUGGGACUACUCUGCAUCCAUUGUCAACAAGUUUGGUAACAAUCCAGCUUUCCUGCUGCCAGACAGAAGUAAAUAUGUCAAUAUGCAGAAGCAUUUCCUGCGUAGCUACAUGGACCUGUUGGUGCAGACUAGUCACCGCAGGGGGGCACUGGCCACAGGAGGCAUGGUUGCCCAAUUGCUGCCCCAGGACCCUUACAGUGAGGCCUACAAGACAGUAAUAGACAUGGUCACCAGACAGAAGAUGCAAGAGAUCCAGGCCGGUGUGGACGGUUUCAUUGUGUACGACUUGAAUCUGAUCGAACCCAUGCAGAAGCUCUUCAAGCUUCACACCCUUGGUGACAACCAGCUUCAUCAGCUUCGUCCAGACGUCAGGGUCACUGCUGAUGACCUGCUUUCCAUUCCAUCGGGAGGAGUCACGCUGGAUGGAUUGAAAUACAACAUUGCAGUUGGAGUUCUCUUUAUUCAGGCCUGGCUGUCUGGUAAAGGGCAUUUUAUAUAUCAAGGAAAAGUGGAAGACUCAGCUACUGCAGAGAUUUCAAGAUCUCAGGUUAGUGUUACAUCAAUCAUCUUGGAAAAAUCAGUCCCACAUGCUAGUAGUGCAUCACUUGCUGAGCUCUCAUCCAAACUGACGAAAUAGGGCCAACCUCAAAUUAAGUUUAACUUAAGGUCUUCACAGUCCUCAUUUAUUUCGGAUCGAUCAGCAAAGCGGACAGCACACAUCGCUGAUUGAAGACCAUUUUUUAGCGAUGUGCGGCCUAUAAUGGACAUAAUGAAGUUCCAUAUUAUGAUGGAUACAUUAACUUUGUCGGUCAGUCUGAGUAAGGAUGAAUAUAGUAGCUUCAAGUUCUUUCAUGCACAACACCUUCAAAUGUAUAUUUUCACUUUCACAUAUUUUCAUUAUUGAGCUGGAGCAGUGUCAUGGGUUUUUGCCAUAAUAAACUGGCAUGGCGCAAUGUCACAGUUUAAAUGAGAGCCAUGCCAUCAGAAAAAAACAAUAUUUUUAAAGAUGAGAGCUCACCUGAUCAAAUGUAUUAAAAUGAAGUGGAAACAUCAAAACAACCAGGUAACACAUGACGCAUCAUGGGGGUGGACUUGAACAUGGCAGUUUCCGCCGUUAUUUGCGGAAAAAUCCAGAAAGAAACAUCAUAAUGACUGAAGUUCGCUAUCCCGCUGGACAUAUGAAGAGGCAGACUAUGUGAGUACGACUUGGAUUGGUAACAUUAACCCCUCUGUUUCACUAUCACUUCUUGAUUGGCUCUGCCACAGUUUCAAAAUAUUCUGGUGGAAUCCCUGGUGUGAGUUUAUUUCAUAUACUGAAAGUGAAGAUUGCUCUAACAUGAGAUUAGAUUUGAUUCGACCUCCAUUAUUGGUCCCACAGGGUGGAAAUUCAACAUGUCACAGCAACCAAUGACAACAAAGACACUGCAAGACAUUAAAGGUUUGGCAGUGGAUUCGUCACCGAACUCAGCUGGAGGGUGAGAGCAAGAUUGUGAGCAGGCAGCUGGUUACAGAGCUUGCCCAGCAAGUGAUGAUGGAACUCCUCCCACUGCAUGGAUCAGACAG
This is an RNA transcript of Synchiropus splendidus (mandarinfish), 2432 nucleotides long. It is a transcript of the gene named ureidoglycolate lyase, with no coding region annotated. The transcript has 15 exons. The record is from RefSeq and is a predicted model, not a curated record. Lineage: Eukaryota; Metazoa; Chordata; Actinopteri; Syngnathiformes; Callionymidae.